Long non-coding RNA from Panicum hallii, 465 nucleotides. RefSeq lists it as uncharacterized. The transcript has 2 exons. NCBI's taxonomy places the organism in Eukaryota, Viridiplantae, Streptophyta, Magnoliopsida, Poales, Poaceae. The record is from RefSeq and is a predicted model, not a curated record.
GCUCGGGGUUCCUUAUCUCAGAGGGCACGUCGGCGUUCGGUAUGAACCUGCGUCCUCGGCCACCUGGGAAGUGUUUCUUGUUCCCUCCAUGAUAACCACCUGCACCAGGUCAUGGCGUCCAUCAGAUACGGGUCAGAGGCUUCAUCAUCGACUAAAUCAAGAACAGCAGCAUCCAAUCUGCAUGACAGCAGUAAGCUUGAUUUAAAGCGUGGCACAGGACUGCAUCUUCUCAAUUUCAUGAACUAGAUAAAAUUUGAGAUAUGCCAAAGUAUUGUACAUCCAAAGUAUUGUCUUUAACAAUAUAGAAAGAGCAUGGCAGAUCCUACGAAGCAUGAGGUUGACCGCACAUUUUGCUGGAUCAUGAUAUGCUCAAAAUGCUGGAUAUGAGAAUAUCAAAUGACAUUAGGAGUCCAUUUGCUAUUUAUGUGGGUUGUGAUAAUCUCUUGAUGGAACUGCUUUCAGAUA